UAGGGAAUCUUCUGCAAUGGUGGGAACCCUGACCGAGCAACGCCGCGUGAGUGAAGAAGGUUUUCGGAGCGUAAAGCACUGUUGUUAAGGAAGAACGAGUGUGAGAAUGCAAAGUUCAUGCUGUGACGGUACUUAACCAGAAAGGGACGGCUAACUACGUGCCAGCAGCCGCGGUAAUACGUAGGUGGCAAGCGUUGUCCGGAUUUAUUGGGCGUAAAGCGAGCGCAGGCGGUCAAUUAAGUCUGAUGUGAAAGCCCCCGGCUCAACCGGGGAGGGUCAUUGGAAACUGGUUGACUUGAGUGCAGAAGAGGAGAGUGGAAUUCCAUGUGUAGCGGUGAAAUGCGUAGAUAUAUGGAGGAACACCGGUGGCGAAAGCGGCUCUCUGGUCUGUAACUGACGCUGAGGCUCGAAAGCGUGGGGAGCGAACAGG
RNAcentral lists this ribosomal RNA (430 nucleotides) under Bacteroidota bacterium. RNAcentral describes it as "Bacteroidetes bacterium partial 16S ribosomal RNA". It matches the Rfam family "Bacterial small subunit ribosomal RNA", at positions 355 to 776 of the family's 1533-position model. The record is from RNAcentral. Lineage: Bacteria; Pseudomonadati; Bacteroidota.